Molecule: long non-coding RNA, 2393 nt
Organism: Varanus komodoensis (Komodo dragon)
Lineage: Eukaryota; Metazoa; Chordata; Lepidosauria; Squamata; Varanidae
Exons: 2
Source: RefSeq, a predicted model, not a curated record
ACACACACACAAACCCUUUGCAAGGACUGCCCCGCCGGCAAGGGCCCGUUUGCGAGGCUGCGGCCGUGCAAUUAGAGCAUCUCGCCGCAGUCUGUUCCCUGCGCUGUUAUUCUAGCCGGUUUGUGGUUUCGGGCCUUACGUGAAGAUCAGCGUUGCGUCACUUGCACCCAAUGCGCUCUCUGGCACUCAGGUUUAAGGAGUGCUCUGGCUUUGUGCUUUGCAAUGUUUGGGUUGCGAGCAGGAAAGAGCAGGUGCGGCAGCGAGGUGCACGUGGUGCGGCCCAGAUGUGAGGACUGGUGCUGGAGGGUUGCUCUCUCUGGAAGCCUCACAGAUCUGGUGCCCUGCAGAAGGCUGAUUUCUUUAUGGCAUUGCCAGAAAUGUUUGCCCAAGUGACAUCCACUCACUAAUGCUGCCCAUGCAGAUGACAUGCAAGUAUUUCCUAGAUGUUCUUGUAACCAUCAGUACAAACAACUUUGUUCCCGAUGGCUUUGGCCAGCCCAGCAUGGUGACCUUCCACCCACCACUGAAAUAGAAGCAGCUUUUUGGAAGAACUCUUGUGACCCUGGAGGAUGCAUGCCACUUCUUGCAGUCCGGGAAUUCCAUCCACAGGGGUAGUGUUCUGGGAUGGUCGCCCUGAUAGGCGCAGCCUAUCUGGAAAACUGGAAGCUGGAAUGCCUGAUAAAAAUAACUAUGUGUUCUAUGACUGUGAGAACUGGACCACAAGGAAACCAAGCACCAAAGCAUUGAUGCUUUUGAAUUGUGUUGGAGAAGACUUCAGAGCGUCCCUUGGACUGCAAAGAAAUCAAAUCAGUCGAUCCUAAAGGAAAUCAACCCCGGCUGUCUAGAAAGACAGGUACUGAAGCUGAAGUUCGAAUACUUUGGCCACCUAAUGAGAAAAAUGGACUCACUGGAGAAGACCCUGAUGCCAGGAACGAUUGCUGGCAAAAGGAGAAGGGGACAGCAGAGGAUGAGAUGGUUAAGUAGCGUCACUGAUGCAAUGAGCAUGAAUUUGGGUGGACUCUGGGAGGCGGGGAGGAUGGGGGGCUGCUGUGCCAUCCAUGGGGUCGCAAGGAGUCGGGCAUGGCUCUGAGACUGAACAACAGCAACAAGAACUCUGAGAAUGCUUUUGCUUUGAAGUGCAGGUCACAGAACCAUUGAAUAGUAGAGCUGGAAGGGGCCUAUAAAACCACAGAUACUCUAAUUUCUCUAGUACGUGUGAUGUGCAGAUAUCUCAAAAUCAAUUCUACCGCUGUGCAGGAUCCAGCAUGACCAGUGUGUUUGGGACAUGUGGAAGUACCGCGAGACAGUCCUUCAGUCCUGCGAGCAUCUACGAUGCGCACUGCAUUUGGGGGAAAGCGCCAUUAUAACCGCCAGCCACCGGGGCUUUGGCAUCCUUGCUUUCUAAACGGCGGUUGUGCAUCCGUGCAACGCUCCAAGGGACAACCCUCCCUCUUCUGUUGUGCUGUGUACCACGGCAGCAGAAGCAGAGCCAGCCGCCCAAGCAUCCCAUCCUUGCCCCACUGUCCUGUCCCCGUGUUCCGGGGUGCUUUUGCCUACCCCCUGCCCCACUGCAUGCAGGAGUACCUGUUAGAACAUAGGCUUAGUGUGGGUGCUGCCACCGGAUUUCCUACUUCAAUGGGCCUCCAAGGAUGGGACACACUUCUACAGCUGGGAGGGUGCAGACUGGUCCAACCUGCUUGGCCUGACCAUUCUAGAAGUGCCAUGCGGGGGACAUGAAGGGGGGCAAGAUGAGAAGCAGGGAAAUCAGGGAAGCAUGUCGCCAUCUACCCACUUAUUCCAGGACCAGCUCUACAGACAGUCUGAAGCACUCCAGUGUGGAAGCAAGCUUUUCCGGCCCUUCCGACCGGAGAUCUUUUAAUGCGAUUUGCCAGGGCUUGUCUCUGGAUCCACCGGGAGACAAAUUUUGUGCUAAACUGCUAUGCUGGAUUAUUCCAAAAAUGCGUCACAAGUCAACUACAGGAAGGCCUGAGGAGACGGAGGGCGGCGAAAGGCAGCUGAAUCUCGCUGCUUCCUAACUAGAUCAGUUUCUCCAACAGAGAAGCUUUUUUAUGGCUCAAAAUUAGCCUUGUCAAGCAGCGUACGCAUGUUGAGCCCUCCCCCCCCAUCCUCCCCAGCAGUUUAAGAUCUUCUGAGGGCCUCCUUGGAGCCCUGAUAGUAAAGGCUUCCCUAGGUGAAGUUUAUUCAACUUCCUUUUUGGAAAGCUGAAAUCGUUCUUCUUUGCAGAAAACCUUUGAUUUUAAAAGCUGCUUGGCCCUUAUUUGCAAUCUUGCCUGCUGUUAUACAGAACGUAGCAUUCAUUCUUUUGAAAUUCUUCCAAAAUUUUACAAAAUGGCAGUAGAAAGAGCUUUUAAAUAAAUUUUAGAAACCAGAAA